Molecule: long non-coding RNA, 2996 nt
Organism: Passer montanus (Eurasian tree sparrow)
Lineage: Eukaryota; Metazoa; Chordata; Aves; Passeriformes; Passeridae
Exons: 3
Source: RefSeq, a predicted model, not a curated record
ACAAGCGCCAGUGAGAAAGGGAGAAAUGGAUGCGUUUUGUACAUUGAAAAAAAAAAUGAAAUUAAGUCACUUGCUGGUCCCCUUAGCGAUGAAACACAGAGGGGAAGAUUAAUACUGCAGCAUAACCUGUGCCUGCAUUCUCUGUCCUGCACCUCUUCCCAGAUAUUCCAGCUGCACUGAAACCCGUCUGUGCAUCAAAAUGAGAUUUUUCAAAAAACAUGUUCAGCUCUAAGAAUUCCUCCGAAUUCGUUACACUCCACCGCGCCAGGCUGCGCCUUGCUGGUCCCGGCGAAGAACACCUGAAAACAUUCUCGGGGCUGCACAGACGCUGUUCUUCUACAGCUGAACAAAUUAAAGCGGCGAGAUUUUGAUACCAGAAGCAUCUGUGAGAGCAGAAAAUAAACGCAAACCUAAAUUCAUACUGGGUUUGGGGGAAAAAAACACAAAACUGUUUACAAGGCGCCGGGAUCUCAGUGUUCAAACACCCCAUACACAGGCAGAGGUAUUUUUUUUAGGAUUAAAAGAUGAUGAUCCAAUGGGCUGAGGAUGUAAAACUCCUUUGGGGAAUGCGAUAAACUGCAAAAAGCCAGUGGCAACUCAUUCCUGAUUAACUCCUUUUUAUAAAGGGGCGGAAUGGAAGCGAACAGGGACCCGACGGGACAGGAACAUAUUUUAUUCAUUUAAUACAAAGCAGCUCCUUAAAAAAAAAAAAAAAGAUCUUUAAAAAGGCAGUUCAGAGCAUAACUCACGGGCCGGGGGGGAAGGCAAAAAAAAAAACCUGAUGGGGUGUGAGGUGAUGUCGCCGUCAUCCCUCGCUCCCCGGGCUGCGGGACCGGCCCGGCCCCCCGGGACCCCCCGAUGCUGGGGGACCCCCCUGCCCCCCCCGGCUCUCCCCGCUGACCUUAAAGGCGGAAUCAAUGAAAUGGUGUAAGCGCAGAGAGCACAAAGAGCUCCUGUGCUCGGCUCUGCAGAUCAUAACCAGAGAUGGGAAAGUAUUUACGGGACUCUCGGAGUGACUGGUCCAUCACUAGCGAAAAAAUAAUAUUUUUAACCGCAGGGAAGCAAGAGUUCAUGUAGAUUUACAAACGAGGAGAAAGUAACUGUAAGAACAUGUGUUAAAAAGGCAGCAGAAAGAAUUCCAUCGAUUUCCAUGAGAGGUGGAUCGCAUCCAGGAAGAAUGAGUCAACUUCAUUCCUUGGGCAGAGCUGGCCAGGCUGAGAGAAUUACACCAGAAAUGCCUCGGCAUCACCUCGUGUCCCCCCUCCGUGCGCUGCUGUCCCACUAAGGACCUCUCCAGUGUGGUUACGGCUCAGAACGAGGUGGGAAUUCUUUUAAAAACGGCUUUUAAUCCCCGGCAAAGGAUGGUUUGGGAAAUGUAUUCUCCCCGCGGUGUCACAUCAGCUGCAGAUAACUGCUGAGCCGAAAAGCCUCUCUCACACACACAAACACACCAUCCAUGGCAGGACAGGACAGCUCAGGGCUCAAGGAAGAUGAAAGGCAAAAUUUCCCCAUCACAGGGAUCCACUCCUCUGUUCUGGCUCCUAAACCCUGUUUCUCCUCUCCCCACAAUUUUGGUGUUGAGCCGUGCGAGGUUUUGGUUUUAUUUGCAGGGAGGAGGUGAAAACUCCUGCAAAGUUUCCUCCCCACUCCCUUCUCCCAGGGCAGGGGACUCUGCUCACCCAGAAGGAUGAAUUGAGAGAGAAACCUUUCUCCACUCACAAAUGCACAUUUAUUGUGGGCUCUUUUACAGGUGGAAGAACAAACUACUCGUUCCUUUCAGAGAUUUGGGUUGAAACAGCAAUGGACAAACACUGUCAGAGUCCUGCCCUUUGCUUUCAGACACCCCAAGUUUCACACAGACCCUCCCCCAUUCUUCAUUAACACAAAAAUAGCACUUCAAACAUCGAACAGGGAGCUCAUCAGGCUUUUCCACCUUGCUGGUGGCUUUUUAGCCCAGAAAUUCUCCAAAUGAGGGCUUGUGGCAGCCUCAGACGGAUGCCAGAAUUUUGUUGUGAGGCGCAGCCUGUGAUAAGCUCAUCAAUGAAUAGUUAAAAACCAAGCUCCAAAAGUGUGGUUAGAAAAUGAAAUGCAAAUAUAUACAAACUGGCCAAUGGUUCCUGUGGAUAUAAAUGCCUGCCUACCUCAUGAGUGCUAUUUUCCAGCCAGCUUUCCAAGCAGAGCAGCCCUUGCACUCCUGUAUCUACAAUUGUGCCAUUUAUAAGCCAGGAGCCCACCUCGCCCAGGCCCUGGUUCCUGCAGUGACUCAUGUUCCACUGGCUUAUUCCUGGGAAGAUCUGUGCUAAAACACAGCAAAGAGCAGAAUUUUGGGGAAGGAAUGGCCCAGUUGGGAAAGCACCAGACACUCUCACUAUUCCUUGUGUCAGAAAACCUGGAAAUGCUGCUUUGCAGCCUGUGGGAGAGAAAGGCUUUUACAACUGGCACUAAAAGAAAAUAUUGCACUGCCACCUGGGUCAAACAAAAGUCUGCGUGAAUGUGGAAACCCAGGGCACUGGGAAUAUUUCUCUGUCUGCUCUGGGGUGCCCUGACCCCCUGGGCAGCACUGACUUUGACCCUCAUUCAUGGAGAAAGUUCCCUAGACUUCAAGAUAGACUGGAAUCCACAAAAGUGUGAAAUUGGUUAUAGAGAGUGGUGUAAGUGUGUCACUUAGGUGAGGAAUUUAGGGUUUGGGAUUUUUAGUGUGUUGUGGAUGGGAGGGCACAGGGUGUUGUCCUGGGUUUCUUCUUCAUGCUUCUUCUUCCUCCUUCUUCAUGGGUUUGGGUGGCAUCUUGCAAUUGUGUGGAAAAAUCUACAUUGCAGCUCUUUGGGAUCAGUGAUUGGGUUAAAAGGGGAAAUAAUCUAGGUGUUGGUUCUUAAUUGGAUAGUUUAGCCUUAAAACACCUUGUAACAAGAGAUUGUUGGCCAUUUCUGUGGUGCUUUUCCAGCGUGCUGAGCCUGGUGUGGACAGUGUGCAAAACUUUAUAUAAAAUAAUAAUAAA